Molecule: unclassified non-coding RNA, 355 nt
Filed under: soil metagenome
Description: partial contains 5.8S ribosomal RNA, internal transcribed spacer 2, and large subunit ribosomal RNA
Rfam family: 5.8S ribosomal RNA (bases 1-120)
Source: RNAcentral
GAUGAAGAACGCAGCGAAAUGCGAUAAGUAAUGUGAAUUGCAGAAUUCAGUGAAUCAUCGAAUCUUUGAACGCACAUUGCGCCCGCCAGUAUUCUGGCGGGCAUGCCUGUCCUAGCGUCAUUUCAACCCUCGAACCCCUCCGGGGGGUCGGCGUUGGGGAUCGGCCCUGCCUCUUGGCGGUGGCCGUCUCCGAAAUACAGUGGCGGUCUCGCCGCAGCCUCUCCUGCGCAGUAGUUUGCACACUCGCAUCGGGAGCGCGGCGCGUCCACAGCCGUUAAACACCCAACUUCUGAAAUGUUGACCUCGGAUCAGGUAGGAAUACCCGCUGAACUUAAGCAUAUCAAUAAGCGGAGGA